CGGCAACAGCUCAGAUUUGAAAUCUGGCCCCCCCCGGGGGCCCGAGUUGUAAUUUGCAGAGGACGCUUUUGGCGCGGCGCCUUCCGAGUGCCCUGGAACGGGCCGCCGCAGAGGGUGAGAGCCCCGUACGGUCGGAUGCCAAGCCUGUGUAAAGCUCCUUCGAC
RNAcentral lists this ribosomal RNA (164 nucleotides) under Cordyceps sp. RNAcentral's name for it is "partial large subunit ribosomal RNA". It matches the Rfam family "Eukaryotic large subunit ribosomal RNA", at positions 99 to 261 of the family's 3401-position model. Lineage: Eukaryota; Fungi; Ascomycota; Sordariomycetes; Hypocreales; Cordycipitaceae. The record is from RNAcentral.